Molecule: ribosomal RNA, 439 nt
Filed under: uncultured bacterium
Lineage: Bacteria
Description: partial 16S ribosomal RNA
Rfam family: Bacterial small subunit ribosomal RNA
Source: RNAcentral
CUACGGGGCGCUGCAGUGGGGAAUAUUGGACAAUGGGCGAAAGCCUGAUCCAGCAAUACCACGUGAAUGAUGACGGCCUUAGGGUUGUAAAAUUCUUUUAGUAGGAAAGAUAAUGACGGUACCUACAGAAAAAGCACCGGCUAACUUCGUGCCAGCAGCCGCGGUAAUACGAAGGGUGCUAGCAUUGUUCGGAAUCAUUGGGCGUAAAGCGCAUGUAGGCGGCUUAGCAAGUUGGCUGUGAAAUCCCAAGGCUCAACCUUGGAAUUACAGUCAAAACUGCCCCGCUAGAGUAUAGUAGGGGAUAGUGGAAUUCCUAGUGUAGGGGUGAAAUCCGUAGAUAUUAGGAGGAACAUCAGAGGCGAAAGCGACUAUCUAUACUAUUACUGACGCUGAGAUGCGAAAGCGUGGGGAGCAAACAGGAUUAGAUACCCUCGUAGUC